This 497-nucleotide ribosomal RNA is filed under the name uncultured bacterium. Its description in RNAcentral is "partial 16S ribosomal RNA". It matches the Rfam family "Bacterial small subunit ribosomal RNA", at positions 28 to 507 of the family's 1533-position model. The record is from RNAcentral.
GACGAACGCUGGCGGCGUGCCUAAUACAUGCAAGUUGAGCGCUGAAGGUUGGUACUUGUACCAACUGGAUGAGCAGCGAACGGGUGAGUAACGCGUGGGGAAUCUGCCUUUGAGCGGGGGACAACAUUUGGAAACGAAUGCUAAUACCGCAUAAAAACUUUAAACACAAGUUUUAAGUUUGAAAGAUGCAAUUGCAUCACUCAAAGAUGAUCCCGCGUUGUAUUAGCUAGUUGGUGAGGUAAAGGCUCACCAAGGCGAUGAUACAUAGCCGACCUGAGAGGGUGAUCGGCAACAUUGGGCCUGAGACACGGCCCAAACUCCUACGGGAGGCAGCAGUAGGGAAUCUUCGGCAAUGGACGAAAGUCUGACCGAGCAACGCCGCGUGAGUGAAGAAGGUUUUCGGAUCGUAAAACUCUGUUGGUAGAGAAGAACGUUUGUGAGAGUGGAAAGCUCAUCAAGUGACGGUAACUACCCAGAAAGGGACGGCUAACUACGUG